This is a long non-coding RNA of Nomascus leucogenys (northern white-cheeked gibbon), 1792 nucleotides long. RefSeq lists it as uncharacterized. Lineage: Eukaryota; Metazoa; Chordata; Mammalia; Primates; Hylobatidae. The transcript is spliced from 2 exons. The record is from RefSeq and is a predicted model, not a curated record.
CACCUACCGCACCCACCACCCUCCUGUCGACACACUCCUCGUCUCGGAGGCCUUUCGUGGGGUCCCCCCAGUUCCAUGCGCCGUAUCCUGCUGCUGUCCGACUCACGGACUGACCCCAGCUCACAGUCUCAGCCUGGGCCCCAGGGAACGCAAGUCAGCUCAAAUCCAGACCUGGCUCAGCCAGGGCCGUGGACACGCUGCAAGCCCUCGUGCAGCCUCUGGGCAGACCCGGGACCUGCAGGCCAGGGGAAAGUGUGGACGUCAUGAGGCAGUGGCAUCCCUGUCCCCACAACGUCCACGGUGACUGUGCGUGUGUGUCCUCGGGCCCACAUAAAGGGGCAGAUGCCCUGUGCCCAGCUACAGCCCCCUCCCAAAGGAGCCUGCAGCAAAGAAGAGUUGCUGGAAGAUCACCCUGCUUUAUUGCCUGGGCCUUAAGGUAAUCAGGGGUGUCUCUCUCCAGCUAGGGCCUGGGAUUCCGUUUCAGGAGCUCGGGCUGAGCGGCCACCUUCCUGGUGGGUCCGUGCCCCAGUCCCUGGUGUGAAGGGGCCGACGCCCAUGACAACAGCCACCCUGAAUGUCCAGGCACUGCCUGAGCCACAUUUGCUGAGGUCUGGGUCCUGGCCCUGGCAGAGUGGGCUGGGCUAGGAGAUGACACAGCAGCAGCAGCUGUGGCAGCGGCAGAAGGGGGGGCAGUGGCAGCAGCGGCAGCAGGGGCAGCAGCAGCAGUGGUGGGCGAUGUCAUCCCCACGCCCCACGGGCGGAGGGCCAGCAUAGGUCAGUCCGGCCGGGCGCUGACUGUUGCUGUAGGGGUUGCCAGGCUGCCACCAGGCCUGCUGGUUCUGGAUGGGGGCAGCCCCCUGGUUACCCUUGGUGCCCUUGGGCCCUGGGACCUCAGUUGGCUGCAAGAGGUGGGUUGGCUCCGGGGCACAGGGCCCCACUGGCAGCGGCUGCAUCUCCGAGGAUGAGGAACAGGUGGAAGCUACCUCUAAUUGCUGCCCGAGGUCAGGCCGCAGGUGAGCCCGGGGGAUGCUGAUGUGGGCAUAUGAGUUCUUGACGACCAUCUCUUGGGGGUCCAUGGUCCAGCCUGCAGGGGUGGGCAGAGAAGACAGACACGGACUCAGUGGAGUGGGAUGGCUGCCCACGAACCUGCGGCCCAAGAAAGCCCCCACCAGGAGCAGCAUGCCUUGUCCAAGGCCAGCAUCCCCAAGGCACCAGUGCCUGGUGUGCCGUCAUCUCCAACUGUGUGUGCAAGGCUAGUGUCAUGGGCGUGAGCCAAGUGUGAGCAAGCAGCAAGGGCCGGUGUCUCCCAGCUGCCACCCCUGCCAGGGAUCCUCCCCCUCCCCUGGUGGCAUUGGUCCUGGGAUGGAGCUGGGAAUGGGGUCGGGGAGGCUGAGAGAUGGGAGAGAAGGGGGCUGACCCUGCAGUGCCCCUGAGUUCUGGGCAGUCCCGGCAGCCAAGGGCUUACCUGUGGUGGCAACACAGCAGUCUGUCCUCUCGGUCUUCUGAGCUCUAGGUCCCAGUGCCUGAGUUGAGCGACUGGCAGCCGCUUUUCCCUCCUUGGGAGGGGCGGGGCCAUGGGGCGGGGCUCAGAGAUGGGGUUCCCAAGAUCCCAAGAGGCCCCAGCAACUGGAGCACGGCAGCUGGCCCACCCCUCAUCCUCAGGCUGAUCUCAAACUCCAGGACUGAAGUGAUCCGCCUGCCUCCACCUCCCAAAGUGCUGGAUUCCAGGCGUGAGCCAGCGUGCCCAGUGGCUUUUCUGCUUUUUUCACUGAUAAAAAAUGUUUGAUUUGCA